UACUCGAGUGGCGAACGGGUGAGUAACACGUGGGUGAUCUGCCCUGCACUUCGGGAUAAGCUUGGGAAACUGGGUCUAAUACCGGAUAGGAGCCAUCUUUAGUGUGGUGGUUGGAAAGUUUUUUCGGUGUAGGAUGAGCUCGCGGCCUAUCAGCUUGUUGGUGGGGUAAUGGCCUACCAAGGCGGCGACGGGUGGCCGGCCUGAGAGGGUGUACGGCCACAUUGGGACUGAGAUACGGCCCAG
RNAcentral lists this ribosomal RNA (243 nucleotides) under uncultured Actinomycetales bacterium. Its description in RNAcentral is "partial 16S ribosomal RNA". It matches the Rfam family "Bacterial small subunit ribosomal RNA", at positions 88 to 334 of the family's 1533-position model. The record is from RNAcentral. Lineage: Bacteria; Bacillati; Actinomycetota; Actinomycetes; Actinomycetales.